GCUCUUUCCGAGGGUGGGUUGUAAUAGGAGAUGCAGGAGUGGUCUUCAAGGGAGACAGGGGAGGUUUAAGUUGGAUCUGAGAAUGAAGUUUUUCCCCGAGAGGCUGGUGAGGCACUGGAACAGGUUGCCCAAGGAGGUUGUGGAUGCCGCAUCCCUGGAGGCAUUCAAGGCCAGGCUGGAGUUGGCACGGGGCAUUUUGGUCUAGUGGCUGGCAAUACUGCACAUAGCGGGGCGGGGGGUGGGAGGUGAAACUUGAUGGUCACUGUGGUCCUUUUCAACGCACGCCAUUGUAUGAUUCAGUGAUUCUGUGAUUCUUUAUAGGACGCAAUCUUCCACUUGGAAAGGGCCUCCCAAGGAUCCCUGGUAUCCUCUGAGAGCUCUGAGCUGCCGCACCAAUUUGAAGCUGACUUCAUUUUUGGUCUUCCCCUUCAGCAGAAAAGCUCAGACAGCCGAGCCAAGCGAGACGCUGGAUUUCCUUUGGCAUCAAGGAAAGCAUCGUGAGAUGUUCUGAUGCCCUCUCACAAUUCUUUCUCCCUCCGCCAGCACCAGAGCUGGCGUCCAAAGACGCAAUGACACUGCCACAGGCAUUGUGGAGAUUUCUAUGGGAUAGGGCCAUGGUAAGGCUUUAUUGACAGAGGGAGGGACAAUGAAGAUUGGAUGUCAGGGAGAAGGUCUUUCCAGAGACGAUGGUGUGAUGCUGGAAGUGGAUGCCCAGAGAGCUUGUGGACGCCGCGUCCGUGGCAGUGUUGAAGGCCAGGUUAGAUGGGGCCCUGGGCAGCCUGGUGUAGGAUUAGAUAUGAUGCAGAUGGGAUUCAAGCAUCUGUUUUGCAGCCAGCUCGAGUGGAGGUCUUGGAGCUCAUGGGCGCCCCAUGCCCGCAUCAGCGUGGGUAGGGUGUGCCCUUCCUGCGCGGUGGGGCUUUGGUGUCCGGGGGCUGACGCUGAGGAGACUGUGUUUCUUCGUUUAUCGGUGGCAGAAAUCCAGCUCUGUCGGCAGAGGACUCCUGCGGCUGGCUGGCCUCAGCCUGAGAUGUUGAUGCUUCCAUCUCCUCAGGUUCUUUCUGCCUGCUCUUCUUAGCCCUGCGCCUGAGAAGUCUGACUGAGUCGCAUGCCAGAAGUGGAAGCCGGGAUGGAGUGCCUUGCGAUGCCUGUGACGGGCUGGACUGAGCCCUUGAGGAAG
This 1177-nucleotide long non-coding RNA is filed under the name Gallus gallus (chicken). RNAcentral's name for it is "lncRNA (ENSGALG00010000112.1)". The record is from RNAcentral. Lineage: Eukaryota; Metazoa; Chordata; Aves; Galliformes; Phasianidae.